AAUUAGAUAGUUGCCAUCCUAUACUCAAAGCCAAAUAUAAAGGGAUUCUAGCAUGUCCACAUCAUCAAUUAUAUUUGGCCAAUAAGAACAUUUCAUUAAUCCAUUGGAUAACACGAGGCUCUACGCUUCUCGCUCUUCGUCUUCACCAUCGUUUCAGUUCUCCCGAUCCAGAACUCCACUACAUCUCUAUCCAUCAAUUCCUUCUUUAUGAUUUCGAUUCCGUUUAGAUUGGUUAGGGUUUAGAUCUCGAUUUGCUCAAUUUGUUGUUCGUUUGCUUUUGUAGGUGGUUACAGUGAAAGUGUUAUUAGCUUAAACGAUGGAGAAGGUGUACGAAGAGCUAGACGAAGUCAAAGCCGCGAACGAGAAGCUCAGAGGAGACUUCAGAGCCAAAACGGAGCUUCUUGAGAACCUAAAGAAGGUUCAGAACAAGCAGUUGAUAGAGAUUCAAGAGGCGAGAUCUGUAAUCGAGAAGCAAGGUUAUGCCUUCAGAAACUCACUUAGGUCGGACUUUGUAAAUUGCAAUCAUGUGGCCGCUUUGCCUUCUGGAGUUUCCAGUGGAUUCGAUAGUUUCUUUUCAGCGUCAUAAUUCAAAUCUCCACUGAUGUUUCAUCUUAUUGGCUUAUUUAAGUGAUUUCUUAAUAAUCCACAUGACCAGUAAGCUCCAUGCAUGAUCAUCUCACGUCGACUCUGCUUUUUUUUUUUCUGAUUGGGGAUCCUUGAUUCUUGCUUUCUUAAUAAGAUCUUUUUUCUGAUAAUUCCUUUUUUCCGUCACAAACGAAAUGGGAACACAUUGAUAAUAUAACCUCCACCCGUGUUCUUUCUUAUAUAAUUGGUGUGAUCUAAUAUUUUAACAAGCUUCAGUCUUGAUUAAUUUGUGUUUUUGGUUUUUCACAAGGAAGGUAUGGUGAUGGAGAAUGAGUAAUACGACACCUUAACAGUCAAAACUGAUACUUCCGAAGCUAACACUAAAAAGACAAGCAAGGACAGUUCAUCGGAGAUUCUCAAGCUACUACAAAAUUUCAGUUCUGUUUUUUGGUUCAAGGUGAUGGGAUCAGUCCUUGCGAUUAAACAUAUUACUCACAUUUUUCCUGAGCGAGAGUAUAUGAUUGGGCAAUUGAUGUCUCUUGGUUUUUGCAAGUGUUCAAGAAUUCCUGGUGUUCUCUUUGACCUUAUGUUGAUUUAGAGUACAAAAAAUACAGAGGUAAUUACUUUUCUAUUAUCUGCUUGAGGGCUUUGUCUUCGUCAUUUACUUAUUGCCGUUAGCGUUAAAAAGAAGUUUGUGUCAUGUUUGUUGCUUUUAUAUGGCUUGCAAGUUUUGUCUGAAUGACCAGGUGAAGAGAGAGAGAAGCGUCGGUCGCGCUAUGUCGGUGCCGCCAUUAGAGAGAAACUGUUUUUAUUGGCAGCAGAGCAGACAAGAAACAACAUGGAGAGUAAUAAUGAAGUCUAUGCUAUGUUAGAAGGUUUGAAUUGUUGGACAUGGUGGUGAUGCACGAAGUGUUAUUGUGGGCACAAGGAAGGGCUUGUGAGGAACAUAUACUUCCCGUUUGACAUAGAAAGCGACACGGCAAUUAGCGUUGCAAGAGAGAUGGUGGAAGAGCUGGAGAUGGACGACCGUGAUGUGACAAAGAUAGCUAACAUGAUCGAUGGAGAGAUUGCUUCUCUGGUUCCUGAUUGGAGAUCAGGCCUAGGGUUUGAGAGCAGUUUUUGCAACUGCGCCUCGAACCGGUCAGCUAUAGACUUCAACGUGAGGCAGUGUUGUACAAACAUGUGUGGAGAGAAGCAUGGACGGUUUGAGGAGAUCACUUUGGGACUACACAACUUUGGCAAACACUACAAGAAAACGUUCGAAAAGGUAGACUUACUGCCCAUUACAGAGAGAUGUUCGGUGAGCCAGGUAGUCACCAACCGACGACUCACAUGCCGAGGCGGAUGUAACGGCGAGGAGUGAUGAAUUCUACCGGGCGAUUAACGACCCUUAGUUCUUUUUAAUUUCGGUUCUUGUAUUAUGAAUUCAAAACUUAUUUAUAUAUAAAAUAUUUUGGUUUUGAUUUUUUUAGAAUUUUAAUUUUAUUAAUAAUUUAAAUAAUUUUUUUAAUUAUAAUUUUUUUUUAUUUCUGUAAAAUAACGAAACGAAGUAAUUUCGUAGCUAUUUUGCGACUUCUUUACGUGGAAGAUUAAAGAGGUUUUUACGAGGAAAUGUUUACAAGGAAAUGACGUGGAAAAUUCACGUGGUCUUUACGAGGAAAGCUAUCAAGAUAUUUACGUUUACUUUACGAGUAUUUACUUUCGAGUUAUUUACGUGGCUUUAACGAGGAAUCGCUUUCGAGGUAUUUACGAGGAAAUUUAGCGACGUCCUUACGUGGAAGCUUUACGUGGUCUUUACGACGAAAUAUUCUUCUUCGCUUUUACGACGAAAUUAUUUUCUCGCUACGUUACGACGAAUUAGCGAGGAUAUAUGCGUUACGACAAACGUAUAACGACGAAACGGGUUUCCUCGCUAAUUCCUCGUAACACUGCUUUUACGACGAAAUCACGAGGAAAACUGCCCUCGUAAAACUUGUGUUUUCUUGUAGUGAAAGCUUUAUAUUCCCAUGGAAAAAUGACAUUUUUGCUGUCUUUUGUUAAUAUGUGUAGAAUUUUUUACAGUAAUGUUGACAAACCAAGAAAUAUCACAGUAAUUAUUUAAUCAUAGCUCAUUAGGCCGGUGACUGUCUUGAAAUCAGUUUAUCAUUCUCAAUUUUGAAAAAUAAACAAAAAGACAUUCUUUUUUAUCAUUAAAAAAAAUUAUAUAUUUUUAGAA
Molecule: long non-coding RNA, 2800 nt
Organism: Brassica napus (rape)
Lineage: Eukaryota; Viridiplantae; Streptophyta; Magnoliopsida; Brassicales; Brassicaceae
Exons: 6
Source: RefSeq, a predicted model, not a curated record